AGAGUUUGAUCCUGGCUCAGGACGAACGCUGGCGGCGUGCCUAAUACAUGCAAGUAGAACGCUGAAGAGAGGAGCUUGCUCUUCUUGGAUGAGUUGCGAACGGGUGAGUAACGCGUAGGUAACCUGCCUUGUAGCGGGGGAUAACUAUUGGAAACGAUAGCUAAUACCGCAUAACAAUGGAUGACACAUGUCAUUUAUUUGAAAGGGGCAAUUGUUCCACUACAAGAUGGACCUGCGUUGUAUUAGCUAGUAGGUGAGGUAACGGCUCACCUAGGCGACGAUACAUAGCCGACCUGAGAGGGUGAUCGGCCACACUGGGACUGAGACACGGCCCAGACUCCUACGGGAGGCAGCAGUAGGGAAUCUUCGGCAAUGGGGGCAACCCUGACCGAGCAACGCCGCGUGAGUGAAGAAGGUUUUCGGAUCGUAAAGCUCUGUUGUAAGUCAAGAACGGGUGUGAGAGUGGAAAGUUCACACUGUGACGGUAGCUUACCAGAAAGGGACGGCUAACUACGUGCCAGCAGCCGCGGUAAUACGUAGGUCCCGAGCGUUGUCCGGAUUUAUUGGGCGUAAAGCGAGCGCAGGCGGUUUGAUAAGUCUGAAGUUAAAGGCUGUGGCUCAACCAUAGUUCGCUUUGGAAACUGUCAAACUUGAGUGCAGGAGGGGAGAGUGGAAUUCCAUGUGUAGCGGUGAAAUGCGUAGAUAUAUGGAGGAACACCGGUGGCGAAAGCGGCUCUCUGGUCUGUAACUGACGCUGAGGCUCGAAAGCGUGGGGAGCGAACAGGAUUAGAUACCCUGGUAGUCCACGCCGUAAACGAUGAGUGCUAGGUGUUGGAUCCUUUCCGGGAUUCAGUGCCGCAGCUAACGCAUUAAGCACUCCGCCUGGGGAGUACGACCGCAAGGUUGAAACUCAAAGGAAUUGACGGGGGCCCGCACAAGCGGUGGAGCAUGUGGUUUAAUUCGAAGCAACGCGAAGAACCUUACCAGGUCUUGACAUCCCGAUGCUAUUUCUAGAGAUAGAAAGUUACUUCGGUACAUCGGUGACAGGUGGUGCAUGGUUGUCGUCAGCUCGUGUCGUGAGAUGUUGGGUUAAGUCCCGCAACGAGCGCAACCCCUAUUGUUAGUUGCCAUCAUUCAGUUGGGCACUCUAGCGAGACUGCCGGUAAUAAACCGGAGGAAGGUGGGGAUGACGUCAAAUCAUCAUGCCCCUUAUGACCUGGGCUACACACGUGCUACAAUGGUUGGUACAACGAGUUGCGAGUCGGUGACGGCGAGCUAAUCUCUUAAAGCCAAUCUCAGUUCGGAUUGUAGGCUGCAACUCGCCUACAUGAAGUCGGAAUCGCUAGUAAUCGCGGAUCAGCACGCCGCGGUGAAUACGUUCCCGGGCCUUGUACACACCGCCCGUCACACCACGAGAGUUUGUAACACCCGAAGUCGGUGAGGUAACCUUUUGGAGCCAGCCGCCUAAGGUGGGACAGAUGAUUGGGGUGAAGUCGUAACAAGGUA
This 1506-nucleotide ribosomal RNA is filed under the name metagenome. Its description in RNAcentral is "bacterial SSU rRNA". It matches the Rfam family "Bacterial small subunit ribosomal RNA". The record is from RNAcentral.